UACAGAGGCGGCGAGCGUUGUUCGGAUUUACUGGGCGUAAAGGGUGCGUAGGCGGUUCUGUGUGUCGGAUGUGAAAUCUCACAGCUCAACUGUGGAAUUGCAUUCGAAACUACAGGGCUGGAGUACAGGAGAGGAGAGCGGAAUUCUCGGUGUAGCGGUGAAAUGCGUAGAUAUCGAGAGGAACACCGGUGGCGAAGGCGGCUCUCUGGACUGAUACUGACGCUGAGGCACGAAAGCUGGGGGAGCAAACAGG
This 253-nucleotide ribosomal RNA is filed under the name uncultured bacterium. RNAcentral describes it as "partial 16S ribosomal RNA". It matches the Rfam family "Bacterial small subunit ribosomal RNA", at positions 524 to 776 of the family's 1533-position model. The record is from RNAcentral.